AACAUACUCCCUCUGUUCCGAAUUACUUGUCGCAAGUAUGGAUGUAUCUAGAUGUAUUUUAGUUCUAGAUACAUUCAUUUCUACGAUGAGUAAUUUGAAACGAAGAGAGUAAUAA
Non-coding RNA from Triticum aestivum (bread wheat), 115 nucleotides. NCBI's taxonomy places the organism in Eukaryota, Viridiplantae, Streptophyta, Magnoliopsida, Poales, Poaceae. The record is from Rfam.